This is a non-coding RNA of Cyanistes caeruleus (blue tit), 2049 nucleotides long. The record is from RefSeq and is a predicted model, not a curated record. Lineage: Eukaryota; Metazoa; Chordata; Aves; Passeriformes; Paridae.
UUUUUUUUCUUCAUUCAACUCUCCUUUUCCCCUGAGUGAUCAGAAAGAGCAUGUGUGUGUGUCAAAUCAUCCUGGUUUCAGUUUUCUUUGCCUGUUCUUUUCCUCUGUCCAUUUUGCUGGUCGUCAUAGUUACAGUGACCUCGGUCGUCCUCGUCUUUCAGGGUCUUGCAAGGAUUUUUUAAGCUUUCACUUGUAACAGCACUUUGCAAUGCCCACUUUUCUAAUUCUUUAACUGUUACUUCAUUUCUUAAUCCAUUUGUCCCAGCAGUCUUCCCCUUUUCUGUGCUGUGUCCUGAUAUACUCCUCAGAGCAGGCUGGAAUUGCUCAGUUUCCAUCUUCACCCCAGUAUCAGUUUCCUUCUGAUAAGACUUCCCACCUUUAAUCUUUCCCUUCUUAACCUGUGUGUAUCAUUAUACUUUGGCCUUGUCUUUGGCUAGCUUUAAAGUGACAUUUUUAUAUGUCUUUUAAAAUAAGUUAGACUAGACACGCAGGAGUAUAGUAGCUCAAGGAGAUUUUGCCUGCUUUUUUAAUUUUUUUUAUUUCAGUUACUUUCUCUGACUUCUGGUUAUGAAGGACUCUGACCAAGACAGCUUCUGCUGUACUAGACAGGGCCAAGGUCAGCCUUAAAACCACAGAAACAUGAGAUGGCCCUUGGCUUCUCCUCAACACUUAAUAGGCUAUAGCAGAGGGGCUCCUAUCAUCUCUCCCAGUCAGGCUACUAAUCCUACAGCUGCUGCUGUAAAGGGACUAAUCACAGGCAGGAAAGGACAAGCAAGGUACUGAGAGCCCAUGAAAACCUCAUGAUUUUCAAGAGGCCAGUGAAGGGUUCAUGUGGCUCAGAGCAACUCCACAUACAACGCAGACUGGAUGGAGAGCAGAUGGAGAGUAGCCCUGCUGAGAUGAUUUGGGGGUGUUGAUUAACGAGAGGCUGGGCCCAGCACUCCCAGCCCAGAGCUGUCUCCGUUGUCUCCUGGGUUGCACCCAAAGCAGCGUUGCCAGCAGGCCAGAGAAGGCACUCUGCCCCUCUGCUCUGCUCUGCUGUGGUGAGACCUCACCUGCAGUGCUGCAUCCAGCUCGGGGGCCCUCGGUAUAAAGAGUGUGUGCCCAUUGGAGUCAGUCCAGAGGAGGCCACAAAGGUGAUGCAAGGCCUGGAGCACCUCAGGCUAAGAGACCUUGUUCAGCUGGCAGAAGAGAAGGUUCCACCUUGUAGCUCCUUCCAGUACCUGAAGAGGACCUUUAAAAAACCUGAAAGGGAUUCUUUAAAACGAGCAUGAGAAAAGCUCAGAGAAGGCUGGUGGUACAAGGUCCUUCCAGCACGUUUUGUUGCUAAUAUUUCUGCUUCCAAUAAACACCUUAUUUGAGAUCAAUAACAAAGAAAAAGGUUUCCACCAUUUAAAAUUACAUAUCAGCCAUGAAAGAAAGAACAAAUGUAACUCUGGAAAACAUGAAUUCCUUGUUUGAUGGCCUGUCAUUUUGUUGAAGAAAAUGACAGCACCUACCAAGGAAAAAUUCCAGUAUGAAGCCUGUUUUCAAUGAAGAGAUGGAGACUGACAUUUGCUGCAGAGAUGACUGAGAAGUUCUGUAGGCAGCUUCAGAAAUUUAGCUACUGUGUUGGCAAGGAAGGCCACCAGGAUGUCUUCUGUUUGAAGCUGCCAGAAGCUUCCUGCAUGUCCAACAGAUCCAGAGCUGGCUCCAGGACUGAUCCCCACACUGGCCAUGGACAAGCCCAGCAGUGACAAUGGGAGAACCUCUGGGAUAACAUGGUUAAACAAGAGAAAAGGUUACAGCACAGAAGCAAUUGCAGCCAGUGAAGAGAGGGGUGAGAAUAUGUGGGAGGAACAACUCUGCAGGCAGCAAGGUGAGUGAAGAAGCAGGGGGGGAAGGAGCUCCAGGUGCCAAAGCAGGGAUUCACUUGCAGCCCACGGGGAGGGCAUGGUGAGGCAGCUGUGCCCUUGCGGUCCAUGGAGGUGUGUGGGGUGGCAGGUGGGUGACCAACAGUGGCCUCGUGUGAAACCUGCCCUGGAACAGGCUCCUGGCAGGACCUGUGGC